CACCAAACGUCCAUAAGUUUACAUACGCAUGUGUGGGGUCCAUAAACUCAUAAGUUUACAUAUACAUAUGUGGGGCCGAUGUUUGCGGGUGUGUAUACAUCAUGCAUGACGACAAUGUGUAUCCUUAGUUAGCUCACCUAGCUAAUCGAUCGAUAUAUGUAUGAUGAUCACCAGAUCAUGUGCACUCUCGUCUAGCUCGCCGAGCUAAUCGAUCUAUCUCCGAUCGAAACGAACGACCUCCUAGUGACGUAGCUCGACUCGUACCUGCCCAUCGAAGACGACGGCGCUCAACGACGACGAACGAGGCAACUGACGACGAGAAACUCCUCCGACGCCGUGAAGCCGCAUCCGCCGCCGCCGCACCUCACCUCCUCACCUGCCUCUCCUCCCUCUCGGCCAUCGGUAACUCCUCUCCUACCCCUAUAUUAUUCCCUC
Molecule: ribosomal RNA, 435 nt
Filed under: Triticum aestivum (bread wheat)
Lineage: Eukaryota; Viridiplantae; Streptophyta; Magnoliopsida; Poales; Poaceae
Description: partial small subunit ribosomal RNA
Source: RNAcentral